UACGUAGGGUGCGAGCGUUGUCCGGAAUUAUUGGGCGUAAAGAGCUCGUAGGCGGUCUGUCGCGUCGAAUGUGAAAACCCGGGGCUCAACUCCGGGCUCGCAUUCGAUACGGGCAGGCUAGAGUUCGGUAGGGGAGUCUGGAAUUCCUGGUGUAGCGGUGAAAUGCGCAGAUAUCAGGAGGAACACCGGUGGCGAAGGCGAUCACCUGGGGUUGUUCUGACGCUGAGGAGCGAAAGCUAGGGGAGCAAACGGG
RNAcentral lists this ribosomal RNA (253 nucleotides) under uncultured bacterium. Its description in RNAcentral is "partial 16S ribosomal RNA". It matches the Rfam family "Bacterial small subunit ribosomal RNA", at positions 524 to 776 of the family's 1533-position model. The record is from RNAcentral.